RNAcentral lists this ribosomal RNA (261 nucleotides) under uncultured prokaryote. Its description in RNAcentral is "partial 16S ribosomal RNA". It matches the Rfam family "Bacterial small subunit ribosomal RNA", at positions 524 to 784 of the family's 1533-position model. The record is from RNAcentral.
UACGGAGGAUCCGAGCGUUAUCCGGAUUUAUUGGGUUUAAAGGGUGCGUAGGUGGAUUGGUAAGUCAGUGGUGAAAGUUUGCAGCUUAACUGUAAAAUUGCCGUUGAAACUGCCGGUCUUGAGUGCAAAUGAGGUAGGCGGAAUGCGUCGUGUAGCGGUGAAAUGCUUAGAUAUGACGCAGAACUCCGAUUGCGAAGGCAGCUUACUGGGAUGCAACUGACGAUGAGGCACGAAAGCGUGGGUAUCAAACAGGAUUAGAUA